This is a non-coding RNA of Danio rerio (zebrafish), 117 nucleotides long. The record is from Rfam. NCBI's taxonomy places the organism in Eukaryota, Metazoa, Chordata, Actinopteri, Cypriniformes, Danionidae.
CGCCACAGCCAUAUCACCCUGCAGCCCAAGACCGGUUACUCACUGAAGCUAAGCAGGGCUGAGCCUGGUUAGUACCUGGAUGGGAGACCACUAGGGAACACUAGGUUGCUGUUGGAA